This 393-nucleotide ribosomal RNA is filed under the name uncultured bacterium. Its description in RNAcentral is "bacterial SSU rRNA". It matches the Rfam family "Bacterial small subunit ribosomal RNA", at positions 505 to 898 of the family's 1533-position model. The record is from RNAcentral.
GUGUCAGCCGCCGCGGUAAUACGUAGGGUGCGAGCGUUAAUCGGAAUUACUGGGCGUAAAGCGUGCGUAGGCGGUUCGUUAUGUCUGCUGUGAAAGCCCCGGGCUCAACCUGGGAAUGGCGGUGGAAACUGGCGAGCUGGAGUGUGGCAGAGGGGGGUGGAAUUCCAGGUGUAGCAGUGAAAUGCGUAGAGAUCUGGAGGAACACCGAUGGCGAAGGCAGCCCCCUGGGCUGACACUGACGCUGAGGCACGAAAGCGUGGGGAGCAAACAGGAUUAGAUACCCUGGUAGUCCACGCCCUAAACGAUGGCAACUGGGUGUUGGGGGAGCGAUUCCUCAGUACCGUAGCUAACGCGUGAAGUUGCCCGCCUGGGGAGUACGGCCGCAAGGUUAAA